UACGUAGGGUGCAAGCGUUGUCCGGAAUCACUGGGCGUAAAGCGCACGUAGGCGGAUCUUUAAGUCAGGGGUGAAAUCCUGGAGCUCAACUCCAGAACUGCCUUUGAUACUGGGGAUCUCGAGUCCGGAAGAGGUGAGUGGAACUCCGAGUGUAGAGGUGAAAUUCGUAGAUAUUCGGAAGAACACCAGUGGCGAAGGCGGCUCACUGGUCCGGUACUGACGCUGAGGUGCGAAAGCGUGGGGGAGCAAACAGG
RNAcentral lists this ribosomal RNA (254 nucleotides) under uncultured bacterium. Its description in RNAcentral is "partial 16S ribosomal RNA". It matches the Rfam family "Bacterial small subunit ribosomal RNA", at positions 524 to 776 of the family's 1533-position model. The record is from RNAcentral.